UGGGGAAUAUUGGACAAUGGGGGGAACCCUGAUCCAGCCAUGCCGCGUGUGUGAAGAAGGCCUUAUGGUUGUAAAGCACUUUAAGCGAGGAGGAGGGUACUGGUAUUAAUACUACCAGGUACUGGACGUUACUCGCAGAAUAAGCACCGGCUAACUCUGUGCCAGCAGCCGCGGUAAUACAGAGGGUGCGAGCGUUAAUCGGAUUUACUGGGCGUAAAGCGUGCGUAGGCGGCUAAUUGAGUCGGAUGUGAAAUCCCCGAGCUUAACUUGGGAAUUGCAUUCGAUACUGGUUAGCUAGAGUGGUGGAGAGGAUGGUAGAAUUCCAGGUGUAGCGGUGAAAUGCGUAGAGAUCUGGAGGAAUACCGAUGGCGAAGGCAGCCAUCUGGCCUAACACUGACGCUGAGGUACGAAAGCAUGGGGAGCAAACAGG
Molecule: ribosomal RNA, 430 nt
Filed under: Pseudomonadota bacterium
Lineage: Bacteria; Pseudomonadati; Pseudomonadota
Description: Proteobacteria bacterium partial 16S ribosomal RNA
Rfam family: Bacterial small subunit ribosomal RNA
Source: RNAcentral